GGAUGGAAUGCUACAUUUACAUUGGUAAUGGUCGGGA
Molecule: transfer RNA, 37 nt
Filed under: Bacopa sessiliflora
Lineage: Eukaryota; Viridiplantae; Streptophyta; Magnoliopsida; Lamiales; Plantaginaceae
Description: partial tRNA-Phe
Source: RNAcentral